UCGCUCCUACCGAUUGAGUGAUCCGGUGAGCUGUCCGGACUGCGAUUAGUUCAGUUUCUGUUCUCUUCGCGGGAAGUUCUGCAAACCUUAUCACUAGAGGAAGGAGAAGUCGUAACAAGGUUUCCGUAGGUGAACCUGCGGAAGGAUCAUUC
RNAcentral lists this non-coding RNA (152 nucleotides) under Perkinsus marinus ATCC 50983. RNAcentral's name for it is "Eukaryotic small subunit ribosomal RNA". It matches the Rfam family "Eukaryotic small subunit ribosomal RNA", at positions 1676 to 1831 of the family's 1831-position model. Lineage: Eukaryota; Perkinsozoa; Perkinsida; Perkinsidae. The record is from Rfam by way of RNAcentral.